Molecule: unclassified non-coding RNA, 490 nt
Filed under: uncultured fungus
Lineage: Eukaryota; Fungi
Description: partial contains small subunit ribosomal RNA, internal transcribed spacer 1, and 5.8S ribosomal RNA
Rfam family: Eukaryotic small subunit ribosomal RNA (bases 1-73)
Source: RNAcentral
CCAAACUUGGUCAUUUAGAGGAAGUAAAAGUCGUAACAAGGUCUCCGUAGGUGAACCUGCGGAGGGAUCAUUAACACGUAUCCACGUAUCAACCAAUCGCGAACUUGGGGCUUCAUUGCUCUAAUCCGACCUAUUUGCAGCAGCUGUGAAGAGCAGUUGUGUAGUGGGUACUGGUCUGAUAGGAAAGAGAGAGUAGCUGCAUUUGAAUCGUGGUUGUGAAAUAAUCUUCCCGAGGAUUGACGCGCGAAACCUUUCUUCUCAGUUCAGUACGACCUCUCAAGCACCAGAGGGUUAAGCCUCGAGGUUGCUGCUUUUAGGCCAUUUUUCUUUUUUACCACUACGAAUAAACCCAUUUCACACUUUAAUCACAAAUUGCCUGAUCCCUUCAGUGGUAGAGAGAAAUCUCUAUGAUAUUGAUGAUAGAUAUUCUAACUAAAGCACAACUCUUAGCAACGGAUAUCUUGGUUCUCGCAUCGAUGAAGAACGCAGC